RNAcentral lists this ribosomal RNA (3369 nucleotides) under Pinus taeda (loblolly pine). Its description in RNAcentral is "eukaryotic LSU rRNA". It matches the Rfam family "Eukaryotic large subunit ribosomal RNA". The record is from RNAcentral. Lineage: Eukaryota; Viridiplantae; Streptophyta; Pinopsida; Pinales; Pinaceae.
GUGACCUCAGCGUAGGCAAGAACACCCGGUGAGUUUAAGCAUAUAAUUAAGCAGAUGAAAAGAAACUUACAAGGAUUCCCCUAGUAGUGGCGAGUGAACUAGGAAGAGCCCAGUAUGAAAAUUGGGUGGCAGCAUCGCCUGAAUUGUAGUUUGUAGAAGCAUCCUCAGCAGCGGACCUAGUCCAAGUCCCUUAGAAGGGGGUGCCUGAGAGGGUGAUAGCCCUAUUGCCCGGGACCCUACUGCAUUGCGAGGUGUUGUUGGUGAGUCGGGUUGUUUGGGAAUCUAGUCCUAAUUGGGUGGUAAAUUUCAUCCAGGCUAAAUACGGGCGAGAGACCGACAGCGAACAAGUACCACGAGGGAAAGAUGAAAAUGACUUUGAAAAGAGAAUUAAAGAGUGCUUGAAAUUGUCAAGAGGGAAGUGGAUGGGGGAUAUCGAUGCUUCUUAAUCAGAUGUGGAAUGGCUCAAGCUGGUCUGCUGCUCAACUUGAGGUGAAAACUAACACGGGUUGCUACAUCGUCACAAGCGCGGGUCGAUUACUUCUUGUCGAUUUGCUUGUGCGUGGUCAAGGAUCAAAGCAUGCGCCCUUGUGGUGGGCCCUGUGCACCUGCACGCUCGUGGUGUUGGUUGGCGAGCUUUCCAUUCGACCCAUCUUGAAACACAGACCAAGGAGUCUAACAUGUGUGCGAGCCAGCGGGUUUGAAAACCUGCGAGGCAUAAGGAAGCUGAUGGGUGAGAUCCCCUCUCUGUGGGGGGGGUGCAUCGUCGAUCGACCUUGAGCUUAUGUGAAGGGUUCAAGUGCGAGCACACCUAUUGGGACCCAAAAGAUGGUGAAAUAUGCCUAAGUAGGGCAAAGACAGAGGAAACUCUAGUGGAGGCUCGUAGUGAUACUGACGUGCAAAUCGUUCAUCUGACUUGGGUAUAGGGGUGAAAGACUAAUCGAACCAUAUAAUAGCUAGUUUCCUCCACAUUUUCCCUUAGUAUAGCUGGAGCUCAUGUGCAAGUUUUAUCGGGUAAAGCAAAUUAUUAGAGGCAUCGAGGGCGUAACGCCCUCAACCUAUUAUCAAACUUUAAAUAGGUUAGAGGGUGUAGAUACUCCAUUGAGCCGUGUCGUGGAAUCGAGAGCUCCAAGUGGGCCAUUUUUGGUAAGCAUAACUGGUGAUGCAGGAUGAAACAAAAGUCAAGUUACGGUGCCAAAUUGCAUGCUAACCUAGAGCCCACAAAGGGUGUUGGUUGAUUAAGAUAGUAGGACAAUGGUCAUGGAAGUCAAAAUCUGCUAAGGAGUGUGUUACAACUCACUUGCCGAAUCAACUAGCCCCAAAAAUGGAUGGCGCUAAAGUGCGCAACCUAUACUUGACCAUCGAAGUAAUUGCCUAGCUCUGAUGAGUAGGAGGACAUGGGGGUCAUUGAGAAACCUCGGGCAUGAGCUUGGGUGGAUCGGCCCCCAGUGUAGAUCUUGGUGGUAGUAGAAAAUAUUCAAUUGAGAACUUUGAAGACUGAAGUGGGGAAAGGUUCCAUGUGAACAACACUUGGACAUGGGUUAGUUGAUCCUAAGAGAUGGGGAAGCCUUGUAUCAAGGGUUCACUCUACAUGAGCAUCUAAAGGGAAUUACGUUAAUAUUCUUGAAUUGGGACAUGGCGGUAGGUGGAAAUGUUAGGAAAUUCAGAGACGUCGUUGGGGGCCCUAGGAAGAGUUAUAUUUUCUUUUUAACAACUUUCCCACCUUGGAAUCGGUUCACCCAAAGAUAGGGUCCAGCAGCUGGAAGAGCACCUCUUGUCUUGCAGUGUCUGGUGCACCCUCGACGGGCCUUGAAAAUCUGGAUGACCAAGUAUCGUUCAUGCCCGGUCAUACUCAUAACCACAUUAGGUCUCCAAGGUGAACAACCUCUCGUCAAUAAAAUAAUGUAGGUAAGGGAAGUCGGAAAACCUCUUAGGGCUAGGCCUAGGGGUCUAUGCCCUCAACUCGUGGGCUGUCGAAAGUCUGCUCGAGCUGCUCUCGCGGGGAGGGUGUGCAGUUGCGUGACAAUUGGGUUAAUGGCGUAGAAUUACCCCUGCUGGGGGCUUUUCCCUAGGCAUCGAACAAUCGACUCAAAACUGGUAUGGACAAGGGGAAUCCAACUGUUUAAUUAAAACAAAGCAUUAUGAUGGUCCCUGCGGAUGUUGACACCAUGUGAUUUUUGCCCAGUGCUUUGAAUGUCAAAGUCAUUAAAUUCAACCAAGCGCGGGUAAAUGACAUGAGUAACUAUGACUCUCUUAAGGUAGCCAAAUGCCUCAUAAUCUAAUUAGUGAUGCACAUGAAUGGAUUAAUGAUAUUCCCACUGUCCCUAUCUACUAUCUAGUGAAACCACAACCAAGGGAACGAGCUUGGCAGAAUCAACGGGGAAAGAAGACCCUGUUGAGCAUAACUCUAGUCCGACUUUGCGAAAUGACUUGAGAGGUGUAGAAUAAAUGGGAGUUGCUUUCGGUGCAAGUGAAAUACCACUACUUUUAACGUUAUUUUACUUAUUCUGCAGGGCAGAGAUGGAGCGUUGCCCCUGUUUUUGGCCUUAAGGCAUGUUUUGGCGAGUCGAUCCAGGCGGAAGACAUUGCCAGGUGGGGACUUCGGUUUGGGCGGCACAUUUGUUAAAGAUAACGCAGGUGUCCUAAGGUGAGUUCAACGAGAACAAAAAUCUCGUGUGGAACAAAAGGGUAAAAGCUCAUUUGAUUUUGAUUUUCAGUAUGAAUACAAACUGUGAAAGCAUGGCCUAUCAAUCCUUUAGACUUUCAGAAUUUGAAGCUAGAGGUGUCAGAUAAGUUACCACAGGGAUAACUGGCUUGUAGCAGCCAAGCAUUCAUAGCAACGUUGCUUUUUGAUCCUUCGAUGCCGACUCUUCCUAUCAUUGUGAAGAAAAAUUCACCAAGUGUUGGAUUGUUCACCCACCAAUAGGGAGCGUGAGCUAGGUUUAGGUCGUCAUGAAACAGGUUAGUUUUACCUUACUGAUGAACCAAACUGCAAUAGUAAUUCAACUUAGUAUGAGAGGAACCAUUGAUUUACACAAUUGGUCAUCAUGCUUGGUUGAAAAGCUAGUGGCAUGAAUCUACUGUGUGUUGGAUUAUGACUGAAUGCUUCUAAGUCAAAAUCCACGCUAGAAGCAACACAUGUCACUCUUCGACUGUAUCUUGAUCCGCAGUAGGGGCAUCGCUUUGUCACCCCUAGGGGCCCAUGUCAUUUGCAAACCAUGAUCGUGAAGCAUUUCGUUCAGGGAAGCUUUGAAGUUCAAUUCCAAAUGGUUGUUGAGAUAACUCCUUUGUAGAUGACUUAAAUAUGAGACGAGGUAUUGUAAGUGGUAGAGUGGCCUUGCUACCACAAUCCACUGAGAUUCAACCUUGGUC